GACGAACGCUGGCGGCGUGCUUAACACAUGCAAGUCGAACGGUAAGGCCCUUCGGGGUACACGAGUGGCGAACGGGUGAGUAACACGUGGGUGAUCUGCCCCGCACUUCGGGAUAAGCCUGGGAAACUGGGUCUAAUACCGGAUAGGACCCUGGGAUGCAUGUCCUGGGGUGGAAAGCUUUUGCGGUGUGGGAUGGGCCCGCGGCCUAUCAGCUUGUUGGUGGGGUGAUGGCCUACAAAGGCGACGACGGGUAGCCGGCCUGAGAGGGUGACCGGCCACACUGGGACUGAGAUACGGCCCAGACUCCUACGGGAGGCAGCAGUGGGGAAUAUUGCACAAUGGGCGCAAGCCUGAUGCAGCGACGCCGCGUGAGGGAUGACGGCCUUCGGGUUGUAAACCUCUUUCAGCACCGACGAAGCGCAAGUGACGGUAGGUGCAGAAGAAGGACCGGCCAACUACGUGCCAGCCGCCGCGGUAA
RNAcentral lists this ribosomal RNA (478 nucleotides) under uncultured bacterium. RNAcentral's name for it is "partial 16S ribosomal RNA". It matches the Rfam family "Bacterial small subunit ribosomal RNA", at positions 28 to 523 of the family's 1533-position model. The record is from RNAcentral.